UACGUAGGGGGCUAGCGUUGCUCGGAAUUACUGGGCGUAAAGCGCGCGUAGGCGGCGCUGUACGACCCGUGUGAAAGCCCCCGGCUCAACUGGGGAGGGUCACGCGAUACUGAUCGACUCGAAGGCAGGAGAGGGUAGUGGAAUUCCCGGUGUAGUGGUGAAAUGCGUAGAUAUCGGGAGGAACACCAGUGGCGAAGGCGACUACCUGGCCUGUUCUUGACGCUGAGGCGCGAAAGCUAGGGGAGCAAACGGG
This 253-nucleotide ribosomal RNA is filed under the name uncultured bacterium. RNAcentral describes it as "partial 16S ribosomal RNA". It matches the Rfam family "Bacterial small subunit ribosomal RNA", at positions 524 to 776 of the family's 1533-position model. The record is from RNAcentral.